Molecule: ribosomal RNA, 439 nt
Filed under: uncultured bacterium
Lineage: Bacteria
Description: partial 16S ribosomal RNA
Rfam family: Bacterial small subunit ribosomal RNA
Source: RNAcentral
CUACAGGGGGCUGCAGUGAGGAAUAUUGCACAAUGGGGGGAACCCUGAUGCAGCAACGCCGCGUGGAGGAUGACGCAUUUCGGUGUGUAAACUCCUUUUAUAUGUCAAGAAAAUGACGGUAGCAUAUGAAUAAGCACCGGCUAACUCCGUGCCAGCAGCCGCGGUAAUACGGAGGGUGCAAGCGUUACUCGGAAUCACUGGGCGUAAAGGACGCGUAGGCGGGUUGGAAAGUCAGGUGUGAAAUCCUACAGCUUAACUGUAGAACUGCACUUGAAACUUCUAAUCUAGAGUAUGGGAGGGGGAGAUGGAAUUAGUGGUGUAGGGGUAAAACCCGUAGAUAUCACUAGGAAUACCUAAAGCGAAGGCGAUCUCCUGGAACAUUACUGACGCUAAGGCGUGAAAGCGUGGGGAGCAAACAGGAUUAGAUACCCCGGUAGUC